AGAAUCUUUCUCAAUGGGCGAAAGCCUGAAGGAGCGACGCCGCGUGGGGGAUGAAGGGCUUCGGCUCGUAAACCCCUGUCAUUCGCGAACAAGGCCGGCUAUUUAAAAGAUGGCCAGUUUGAUGGUAGCGAAAGAGGAAGGGCCGGCUACCUCUGUGCCAGCAGCCGCGGUAAUACAGAGGUCCCAAGCGUUGUUCGGAUUUACUGGGCGUAAAGGGUGCGUAGGUGGUGGGGCAAGUUUGAUGUGAAAGCUCCGAGCUCAACUCGGAAAUUGCAUUGAAAACUGCCUUGCUAGAGGAUUGGAGGGGGGACUGGAAUUCUCGGUGUAGCAGUGAAAUGCGUAGAUAUCGAGAGGAACACCAGUGGCGAAGGCGAGUCCCUGGACAACUCCUGACACUGAGGCACGAAAGCUAGGGGAGCAA
Molecule: ribosomal RNA, 421 nt
Filed under: uncultured bacterium
Lineage: Bacteria
Description: bacterial SSU rRNA
Rfam family: Bacterial small subunit ribosomal RNA
Source: RNAcentral